GGAGCCUGAAGAGCGUGCAGGAAAGCCACACUGUCCCAGAGCUUUAGGACACAUUCUGUUUUCCUUCAGUACUUUCUUACACACAAUAGCUUUUCCAUUCUAAGUUCACAAAGCUGGUGUUUUCCAACGGCGGCACAUGAUCUCCUGGUCUGAUUCUCCCUGAAAGCAGAGCCCGAGAAGAGGACUUGCAUGCAGGCAAGAAUCCUCUGUUGCCGCCUUUAUAAUUGGGAUGGUUGCAAAUGUCAUAAUUAGUUGACCUUGCCAGGAAGUAAACUUCUUUUUGACUCAGUUUCAUAAGUAUGGGGACCAGUACAGUCCUCCCUCCCACUCUCGUCGGCUUCCCGGACAGCUGGGGUGGACGCUAAGAAGCUGCCGUGUGUCUUCUUGCUGGGUGUCCUGGGCCAUCGCCUCAGCAGGGCUGAGCCCCUGUGACCUCUCAGAUCUCUUCCCCUGCCAUCCAUCAGCCGUUUCAGACUAGACUCACUUCGCCUGCUACCAGACACCCUCGCUACUUUCCUUCCCUGGAUGGGGAGUAACGAUUCUUCUGGAAAGAGAGGCUUGGGGCCUGCCAACUUAGGGCAACUCACUUCUCAAGAGCUGAUCAGCUGGGGCUCUAUAAUCAGACUCUGGUUGUCUAAACUCCUUAAGUAACCUUCCGAAGAAGCCGCUUCCUUGUUAAGCAGCCACAUCCACCUGCUCAGCAGUGACUUGCUUCCCACUUAGGAGUAAACGGGAUUCUCUGAGAAUUCUUGUGCGUGUGUG
RNAcentral lists this long non-coding RNA (762 nucleotides) under Equus caballus (horse). Its description in RNAcentral is "lncRNA (ENSECAG00000044046.1)". The record is from RNAcentral. Lineage: Eukaryota; Metazoa; Chordata; Mammalia; Perissodactyla; Equidae.